GACAAACGCUGGCGGCGUGCAUAAAACAUGCAAGUCGAACGGGCCAAUCUCCGCAAGGAGAAAGGCUAGUGGCGAACGGCUGAGUAACACGUAGGUGACCUGCCCCGAAGUGGGGGAUAACAACUCGAAAGAGUUGCUAAUACCGCAUGUGACCACCGAUUCAUUUCGGUGCUCAAAGUCGCAAGACGCUUUGGGAGGGGCCUGCGGCGGAUUAGCUAGUUGGUGGGGUAACGCCUACCAAGGCGUCGAUCCGUAGCUGGUCUGAGAGGAUGACCAGCCAGACUGGGACUGAGACACGGCCCAGACUCCUACGGGAGGCAGCAGUUAGGAAUUUUGCGCAAUGGGGGAAACCCUGACGCAGCCACGCCGCGUGCGGGAUGAAGGCC
Molecule: ribosomal RNA, 386 nt
Filed under: uncultured bacterium
Lineage: Bacteria
Description: bacterial SSU rRNA
Rfam family: Bacterial small subunit ribosomal RNA
Source: RNAcentral